UACCCUUUGGGGAGCUUGUACACAGGCUGAGAGGAUGGUGUGACCAUCGACCCGUGAACCUGAUGCGGGUAAUGCCGACGUAGGAAGCUUGUGA
Molecule: non-coding RNA, 94 nt
Filed under: Candidatus Enterenecus faecium
Lineage: Bacteria; Bacillati; Bacillota; Clostridia; Eubacteriales
Source: RNAcentral